GGGUUGUGAGGUUAAGCGACUAAGCGUACACGGUGGAUGCCCUGGCAGUCAGAGGCGAUGAAGGACGUGCUAAUCUGCGAUAAGCGUCGGUAAGGUGAUAUGAACCGUUAUAACCGGCGAUUUCCGAAUGGGGAAACCCAGUGUGUUUCGACACACUAUCAUUAACUGAAUCCAUAGGUUAAUGAGGCGAACCGGGGGAACUGAAACAUCUAAGUACCCCGAGGAAAAGAAAUCAACCGAGAUUCCCCCAGUAGCGGCGAGCGAACGGGGAGGAGCCCAGAGCCUGAAUCAGUGUGUGUGUUAGUGGAAGCGUCUGGAAAGGCGCGCGAUACAGGGUGACAGCCCCGUACACAAAAAUGCACAUGCUGUGAGCUCGAUGAGUAGGGCGGGACACGUGGUAUCCUGUCUGAAUAUGGGGGGACCAUCCUCCAAGGCUAAAUACUCCUGACUGACCGAUAGUGAACCAGUACCGUGAGGGAAAGGCGAAAAGAACCCCGGCGAGGGGAGUGAAAAAGAACCUGAAACCGUGUACGUACAAGCAGUGGGAGCACAGAGCAAUCUGUGUGACUGCGUACCUUUUGUAUAAUGGGUCAGCGACUUAUAUUCUGUAGCAAGGUUAACCGAAUAGGGGAGCCGAAGGGAAACCGAGUCUUAACUGGGCGUUAAGUUGCAGGGUAUAGACCCGAAACCCGGUGAUCUAGCCAUGGGCAGGUUGAAGGUUGGGUAACACUAACUGGAGGACCGAACCGACUAAUGUUGAAAAAUUAGCGGAUGACUUGUGGCUGGGGGUGAAAGGCCAAUCAAACCGGGAGAUAGCUGGUUCUCCCCGAAAGCUAUUUAGGUAGCGCCUCGUGAAUUCAUCUCCGGGGGUAGAGCACUGUUUCGGCAAGGGGGUCAUCCCGACUUACCAACCCGAUGCAAACUGCGAAUACCGGAGAAUGUUAUCACGGGAGACACACGGCGGGUGCUAACGUCCGUCGUGAAGAGGGAAACAACCCAGACCGCCAGCUAAGGUCCCAAAGUCAUGGUUAAGUGGGAAACGAUGUGGGAAGGCCCAGACAGCCAGGAUGUUGGCUUAGAAGCAGCCAUCAUUUAAAGAAAGCGUAAUAGCUCACUGGUCGAGUCGGCCUGCGCGGAAGAUGUAACGGGGCUAAACCAUGCACCGAAGCUGCGGCAGCGACGCUGAUGCGUUGUUGGGUAGGGGAGCGUUCUGUAAGCCUGUGAAGGUGUGCUGUGAGGCAUGCUGGAGGUAUCAGAAGUGCGAAUGCUGACAUAAGUAACGAUAAAGCGGGUGAAAAGCCCGCUCGCCGGAAGACCAAGGGUUCCUGUCCAACGUUAAUCGGGGCAGGGUGAGUCGACCCCUAAGGCGAGGCCGAAAGGCGUAGUCGAUGGGAAACAGGUUAAUAUUCCUGUACUUGGUGUUACUG
Molecule: ribosomal RNA, 1427 nt
Filed under: Escherichia coli
Lineage: Bacteria; Pseudomonadati; Pseudomonadota; Gammaproteobacteria; Enterobacterales; Enterobacteriaceae
Description: partial 23S ribosomal RNA
Rfam family: Bacterial large subunit ribosomal RNA
Source: RNAcentral